RNAcentral lists this ribosomal RNA (434 nucleotides) under uncultured archaeon. RNAcentral describes it as "bacterial SSU rRNA". It matches the Rfam family "Archaeal small subunit ribosomal RNA", at positions 19 to 458 of the family's 1478-position model. The record is from RNAcentral.
GGACCUGACUGCUAUCGGAUUGAUACUAAGCCAUGCGAGUCAUUGUAGCAAUACAAGGCAUACGGCUCAGUAACGCGUAGUCAACCUAACCUAUGGACGGGAAUAACCUCGGGAAACUGAGAAUAAUGCCCGAUAGAACAUUAUGCCUGGAAUGGUUUAUGCUCCAAAUGAUUUAUCGCCGUAGGAUGGGACUGCGGCCUAUCAGUUUGUUGGUGAGGUAAUGGCCCACCAAGACUAUUACAGGUACGGGCUCUGAGAGGAGUAGCCCGGAGAUGGGUACUGAGACACGGACCCAGGCCCUAUGGGGCGCAGCAGGCGAGAAAACUUUGCAAUGUGCGAAAGCACGACAAGGUUAAUCCGAGUGGUUUCUGCUAAAGAAACCUUUUGUCAGUCCUAGAAACACUGAUGAAUAAGGGGUGGGCAAGUUCUGGUGU